This 82-nucleotide small nuclear RNA is filed under the name Catagonus wagneri (Chacoan peccary). The record is from RNAcentral. Lineage: Eukaryota; Metazoa; Chordata; Mammalia; Artiodactyla; Tayassuidae.
GUGCUUACUUCAGUAGCACAUAGACUAAAAUUGAAACAAUACAUAGAAGAUUAGCAUGGCCUCUGCAAAAGACUGACAUACA